This 68-nucleotide transfer RNA is filed under the name Podarcis tiliguerta. RNAcentral describes it as "tRNA-His". It matches the Rfam family "tRNA". From Rfam's summary of the family: Transfer RNA (tRNA) molecules are approximately 80 nucleotides in length. Their secondary structure includes four short double-helical elements and three loops (D, anti-codon, and T loops). Lineage: Eukaryota; Metazoa; Chordata; Lepidosauria; Squamata; Lacertidae. The record is from RNAcentral.
GUAAAUAUAGUUUAUUCAAAACACUAGACUGUGACUCUAGAAAUAGAAGCCCUAUCUUCUUGUUUACC